AUGGAGAAUGUAGUUGAUGAGUUCGUCGUCCUGCAGGGGCUUGCCGGCGGCCGCCAGCUCAUCGGCAAGGCCACGCAUAUGGGCGAAGAAGGUGGCGACCGAUUGGGUGCCCUUCUGCGCGCUGAGCAGGGCCGUGCGAAUAUUAUUGACACGACUCAAAGACUACGAGGAGAACAUUCCUGCGAGCAUUGUCCAGAGCACGCUCGCCGUGGUGACCGUGGUCACCUGCAGCAGGACCUCCUUGGUGAGGUUGUUGAGGAGAUAGCCCAGCACUUACUGGUCCUCCCGGACCCAAAAAGGGUGGAGAGGGUUGGGCCAGAGGUUUCCUUCCCAUCCUUAUCUUUGGUGGUGAGGAACUUGGCCGGCUCCGGUGUUGUGCCGUCGGCGUAG
Molecule: ribosomal RNA, 390 nt
Filed under: Triticum aestivum (bread wheat)
Lineage: Eukaryota; Viridiplantae; Streptophyta; Magnoliopsida; Poales; Poaceae
Description: partial small subunit ribosomal RNA
Source: RNAcentral